GAUGAACGCUGGCGGCGUGCCUAAUACAUGCAAGUCGAGCGAACAGACGAGGAGCUUGCUUCUCUGACGUUAGCGGCGGACGGGUGAGUAACACGUGGAUAACCUACCUAUAAGACUGGGAUAACUUCGGGAAACCGGAGCUAAUACCGGAUAAUAUCUUGAACCGCAUGGUUCAAUAGUGAAAGACGGUUUUGCUGUCACUUAUAGAUGGAUCCGCGCUGCAUUAGCUAGUUGGUAAGGUAACGGCUUACCAAGGCAACGAUGCAUAGCCGACCUGAGAGGGGGAUCGGCCACACUGGAACUGAGACACGGUCCAGACUCCGACGGGAGGCAGCAGUAGGGAAUCUUCCGCAAUGGGCGAAAGCUUGACGGAGCAACGCCGCGUGAGUGAUGAAGGUCUUCGGAUCGUAAAACUCUGUUAUUAGGGAAGAACAUAUGUGUAAGUAACUAUGCACGUCUUGACGGUACCUAAUCAGAAAGCCACGGCUAACUACGUG
This 497-nucleotide ribosomal RNA is filed under the name uncultured bacterium. RNAcentral describes it as "partial 16S ribosomal RNA". It matches the Rfam family "Bacterial small subunit ribosomal RNA", at positions 28 to 507 of the family's 1533-position model. The record is from RNAcentral.